RNAcentral lists this ribosomal RNA (2446 nucleotides) under human gut metagenome. RNAcentral describes it as "bacterial LSU rRNA". It matches the Rfam family "Bacterial large subunit ribosomal RNA", at positions 447 to 2925 of the family's 2925-position model. The record is from RNAcentral.
CCGGGACCAUCCGGUAAGGCUAAAUACUCCCGAGAGACCGAUAGCGAACCAGUACUGUGAAGGAAAGGUGAAAAGCACUUCGAAUAGAAGAGUGAAAUAGUCCCUGAAACCGUGCGCCUACAAGCGGUCGGAGCUGCUUCAGCAGUGACGGCGUGCCUUUUGCAUAAUGAACCUACGAGUUACUUUUUCCGGCAAGGUUAAGGAUCUUGAGAUCCGCAGCCGAAGCGAAAGCGAGUCUUAACAGGGCGAUUAGUCGGAAGGAGUAGACGCGAAACCAAGUGAUCUACCCUUGGUCAGGUUGAAGGUUAGGUAACACUAACUGGAGGACCGAACCGAUAAGCGUUGAAAAGCUUCCGGAUGAACUGAGGGUGGGGGUGAAAGGCUAAUCAAACUUGGAGAUAGCUCGUACUCCCCGAAAUGCAUUUAGGUGCAGCCUUGGGAAUUACUACUGUGAGGUAGAGCGACUGAUAAGAUGCGAGGGCUUCACCGCCUAUCAAGUCUUGACAAACUCCGAAUGCGUGUCAGUUCUAUGUCAGGAGUGAGGGCAUGGGUGCUAAGGUCCAUGUCCUAAAGGAGAACAAUCCGGACCAACAGCUAAGGUCCCGAAAUGAAUACUAAGUUGAACUAACGAAGUCAGAUUGCUAAGACAGCUAGGAUGUUGGCUUGGAAGCAGCCAUUCAUUUAAAGAGUGCGUAACAGCUCACUAGUCGAGGAGUUUGGCGUGGAUAAUAAUCGGGCAUUAAGCAAUUUACCGAAGCUAUGGGAUCAGUAAUGAUCGGUAGGGGAGCAUUCCACUCUGCGUCGAAGGUGAAGCGUGAGCUUUGCUGGAGCGUGUGGAAAAGCAAAUGUAGGUAUAAGUAACGAUAAAGGGGGUGAGAAACCCCCUCGCCGAAAGACUAAGGUUUCCUGAUCAACGCUAAUCGGAUCAGGGUUAGUCGGGUCCUAAGGCUCAGCCGAACGGUGAGGCCGAUGGCAGAACAGGUUAAUAUUCCUGUACUACCUUAAGGAGUGACGUGGAGACGGAGGCGUGAUAGCGCCGCGGACUGACGGAAUAGUCCGUUGAAGGGUGUAGAUGUUGAUCUUUGCAGGCAAAUCCACAAAGAGAGUCGAACCUGAUAGUAUACCAAAUUCUUCGGAAUAAGGUAAUAGUGCGUGUAAACAUACUCCCAAGAAAAUCCGCUAAACUUAAUCUUUAAGGUACCCGUACCGCAAACGGACACACGUAGUCGGGUUGAAUAUACUAAGGCGCUUGAGUGAUUCACGGUUAAGGAACUAGGCAAAUUGACCCUGUAACUUCGGGAUAAAGGGUCCCAACGAGAGUUGGGCGCAGAGAAUAGGUCCAGGCAACUGUUUAACAAAAACACAGGGCUGUGCUAAAUUGAAAGAUUACGUAUACAGCCUGACACCUGCCCGGUGCUGGAAGGUUAAGAGGAGAUGUCAUCGCAAGAGAAGCAUUGAAUUGAAGCCCCAGUAAACGGCGGCCGUAACUAUAACGGUCCUAAGGUAGCGAAAUUCCUUGUCGGGUAAGUUCCGACCUGCACGAAUGGUGUAAUGAUCUGGACACUGUCUCAACCGUGAGCUCGGUGAAAUUGUAGUAUCGGUGAAGAUGCCGAUUACCCGCGAUGGGACGAAAAGACCCCGUGAACCUUUACUAUAGCUUAACAUUGAAUUUGGGUAAUUGAUGUGUAGGAUAGGCCGGAGACUUCGAAGCAGGUACGCCAGUAUUUGUGGAGUCGCUGUUGAAAUACGGCCCUUUGAUUAUUUGAGUUCUAACUCGUAGAUGCGAGGACACUGUUUGGUGGGUAGUUUGACUGGGGUGGUCGCCUCCAAAAGUGUAACGGAGGCUUCUAAAGGUGCCCUCAGGACGAUUGGUAACCGUCCGUAGAGUGUAAUGGCAUAAGGGCGCUUGACUGGGAGACAGACAAGUCGAUCAGGUAGGAAACUAGAGCAUAGUGAUCCGGUGUUUCCGCAUGGAAGGGACAUCGCUCAAAGGAUAAAAGGUACUCCGGGGAUAACAGGCUGAUCCCUCCCAAGAGCUCAUAUCGACGGAGUGGUUUGGCACCUCGAUGUCGGCUCGUCACAUCCUGGGGCUGGAGAAGGUCCCAAGGGUUGGGCUGUUCGCCCAUUAAAGUGGCACGCGAGCUGGGUUCAGAACGUCGUGAGACAGUUCGGUCUCUAUCUAUCGUGGGCGUAUGAAAUUUGCGUGGCUCUGACACUAGUACGAGAGGACCGUGUUGGACUGACCGCUGGUUUACCAGUUGUGCCGCCAGGUGCAUCGCUGGGUAUCUAAGUCGGGAUUGGAUAAGUGCUGAAAGCAUCUAAGUACGAAGCCAGCCACAAGAUUAGAUUUCUUAGGGUCGUUAAAGACGAUGACGUUGAUAGGAUGCAGGUGUAAAGGUGGUAACAUCAAAGCCGAGCAUUACUAAUUGCCCGUUCACUUUCUUUC